Molecule: long non-coding RNA, 3025 nt
Organism: Anas platyrhynchos (mallard)
Lineage: Eukaryota; Metazoa; Chordata; Aves; Anseriformes; Anatidae
Source: RefSeq, a predicted model, not a curated record
UCAUGCAUAUUUCUGCAUAGCAGUCAUCCGGGGGCUCCACAAGGAAGCAGCUGGGAAGCCGGGGCCACGGUGCUCUUGUGUGGCCGGGGCAGGAUGGCGAGCGGGGAAGCUGCAAUCCGGAGCUGUGCUGCAAGGAGCCUCUGCAACCCUAAAUUUGGCAGCCAAGGAACCCUGCCAGGGAUAGACAAGAAGCUUGGAGGGCUAUCGAACAAAAGCCUGAGCGCAGAUGUACCACAAUCACCACUAGAGGUGCUGCCAAUGGCAGAACAGAGCUCACCAGGAAGAACUGUCAGCCAAAUGUCCAGCUGCACCCUACCUGCAAUGCAGCCCCAUUUCAGCUGUCUGUGAAGCCCCUUGUUCCUUGCCCUGAGCAACACAGUGGUGCAACAGACUGCUAGCAAGUGGCCACAUUCCUUUGCAGAGGUUUAGCUAUGCAUUCAUCAGUUUUACUUCUGGUCUCCAAGCAAGCCCAUCUACAGUCACCAUCACCCUCUUAUAUCUUCUGCUCCUACCAAAGAAGUCUUAACUUUUAUUUCUGGAUAACAAUGGAGAUGGGGGAAGAAACAAAUUAAUAGAUAGCAAUAAUAAUUUUAAACCCUCCCUUCACUUCAGGCUCUGGUAUACAGAAACAGAAGGACAAUAAACACAGAGCUGCCGAGCACAAGAGUCUGCUUGUUUCUCUGGGGAAGAAAAAACCAUCAAAAACAUGUGCAUUCGCCAUGGAAGAAAGACUGCCUUUCUGGUUGUGUGUGAACUCACAUGACAGAUACAAGUUGACAUAACACUGCAGUUAUUUAUCACGCAGAUGUUUAAAGAUAACUCUUAAUAAAAAAUGAUAAUCACACACAGUGACACAAAUCCACCAGACCAUGAAAGCUAAUAUUUACUCAAUACUAAAUACCUAGUGGUCAUGCAAGCCUCUAAGGAACCAAGUCUGGUUAUUACUUUACUACUAGGAAAGCCAGUGCUUCAGAGAAAAUAGAUUAUUUGGAUUUUCUUUUAAUGCAUUUGUUAUUAUUAUUUUCACCAAAGCUAUUCAGCCUUUAUGUUUUCCAUCAAAUAGUCACGGCACACAAGCUUUCCAUUUUCAGAAAUACUGCAAUGUCAGCACUUCGUGUGCCAGUAAAAUGGAUUUUCACCUCUGUAUUUAGUUUUGGUUGGUUUGUUUUAAAAGAAACUGGAAAGAGAAAAUGACUGAAGAACAACGAAGACCUUGAGCCCAGUCCUGCCAGAGCACUGGGAUGCAACACAGGCACUCAAGGAAAGAAGGGUCCCUCUCUGCACCUUUUGUCAUGCUUACAGAUCACUUUUCCUGCCCCUCUGGCAUCUUCUGCCUCAGCUUUGUGAGGGAUGGCAUGAAGAGUCCUCCAUCUACUUUUAAUCUUUUUACUGAAGGAAUGCAUAAUGCCAUACCAUGGCCCUACAUAUGUGACAUAAUCUUUAAAAAAUGUUACCUAUUGUUAAUUGUGAUCUUUACAACUGAGAUAGGAAAACUGGCUCUGAGCAGUGCUUUUCUCUCUGGCCAGUUUCUGUAUGGGCACAGACACAUUUGCACUGUGCGGGGCUGCUUACGAAGUCCCAGCAUAGCUCGGGCACCUGGAAAAGCAUAAACAGGUUCUUUGCUCAAGCUAAUGUCUCCUUUCUUCCUUAUCUCUCAGCUUUGCUUUGUACAGCCUUGGCACAAUCUGAAUUUGAAGCAAUUGCAAUUUACUUGAUACUACAACAUCCAAGGCAAAAAUCCUUCAGACAGAUGAUUUGCUCAGUUCCACCCAUUAUGAAAGCAUAAAUGCUAUAAACAGCAGAAAGGAAGAAAGUUGCUUCGGGAUGCUGGGAAGUACAGUGUCAGUAAAUGCAACAUGCUGUAUGUGGAUAAAACCCAUUGAGUUUGUGAAUACAGAGUUACCUAUUAUUACUCAGGAAAGAGAUCUUAGAAUCAUAACAGUUCUCUGAAAGCAUCAGGCUGAAUGCUCAGGGAUGGUACAAGGGAAAAACAGUGUCAAGGAUGAUUACAAAAGGAACAGCAAACACCGUCUCUCUCCAUAUAAACUAAAGUUUUGCCCACAUCUUCAGUUCUACGCACAGUUCUAAAACAGAUUUGGAAGAAUUAGGAAAAGACAUGAAAAGGAAGAUAUAAAUAACAGAGGUACAAAACAGCUUCUCUACAAGAUGAGAUUAGCCAAAGGAUGACUUUUCAGCCUGCAAGAGAUGACUGUGGAGAAGAACAGGAUUAUGGUCAAAAAUCAUGAACAGCAUAGAGAGAGUGAAUAGGAACAACUGUUCUCAUGAUGUAAGAAAUAGGGGGCAUAAAAUGAAAUGAUCAAACAGCUAGUUUAAAACAAGAGGGUCCAGUUUUAUUUUUUUAUUAUCCACUACGUAAUUAAGUUGUGGAACUCAUUGCCACAGGAUGUUUUGAAAGCCAAAAGCAUAAAUGGAUUAAAAGAAAAGCUAUUAGAAAAAUUCAUGGAAGAAAGGUCCAUCAAGGGCUAUUAAGACACAGAUACAACCUCUGACUCAAGAAGUACCCAGAGAGCCGACUGCCAGAAGCUGGGAAGGGAUGCUGCUCUGCACUGACCGAGAGCAGAUGCUUUGGGAAAAGAGAGUGAAGGACCAAGCUAUGGUCAGAAUCAGGAUACUGGAUUAGACAGAUCUUUGCUCUGAUUCAGUAUAGCUGUUCUGAUGCUCUUCUAAAAUGAACUAAUUUGUCUUUGAGAAUCUGACGCUUAUUAAAACCCAAAUGUAAUUCCUUCCUUAUUGUGAGACAGAGUGACCAGAAAUUACCAGAAGUAGUAGAAACAGUGAUUAUUUAAAGUUACUAGCUGUACUUUUGGAUUGUCUUUAAUCUGAGAAUUUCUAUACGAUUCAAAAGUCACUUGGGUAAAUUUAUUGCUGCUUGAAAGUUUCAGUUUGUGACAAAAGCUUUACAAGACACUAUAGUAAUGCUUCUAUGUUUAAAUGUACAAGGAAAACAUCUGGUUAAAUGCACAAGAGCUACUGCUUGAGGGGGGGAAUAAAUGUAUAAAAACAA